UUUUUUUUUUUUUAAGAAUUAUUUUUUUGUGACAGUAGAAGGAAACCAUGUUUUUAAAUGCUGUUUCCAUGCUCACACACCAUAGUGAAAGAUGAUGCCUUUCUGUCUCAAAAUAAAAGAAAAUGUGUUAGACGUCUCAUGACAAAUAAAUUUCUUCUGAAACCCUUUUUAAUGGAUGCUGCUGAUGCCCUGCCCAGAUAGACCCUUUUAUCAGGCUAGCACACCCAGCCCCCAGCUACUCUUAAGUGUUGACUGCUUAUGGCUCAGGGCUUCCCUUUCUCUGGAGAAUUGACCUCUGCCCAGUGGAGCUGGCUAUCCCAGAGAUGUCUGGAAACAGCCCUCACUUUGGCUUGCAGCCAAUGACUGCCUGAUACUGUAAAGGCCACAGCCCCUUGUCUGAAGGGGGUUAAUUGUAUGGUGUUAUUAUGUUCUAGAGGUAGGCUCCUGCUAAGGAUAGCUUUGCUAUCCUUAAAAGAGCUUUGCUGCUCUUUUCCUGACUUCUCCUCUCCCCUUACUUCCUUAAUCCACUCUUCCUGAGAGCUCCUCCAAUAAGUCACUUGUACAAGAAUCCCUGUCUCAGGCUCUGCUUCUGGGGAACCCCACCUAAGAUACCCUUCAAUUAAUAGAGGACGUAUUAAUGUAUUCUAGGUGCUACAGAGUAGCAUGAAAAACUUGGUAUAUUUGCUGUUCAACAUUUCUAAUGUCAUUUGAGACUUAUUUGAUUCAUUAUAUAUUCUUUAAGAUUUUUAAUUUAUUUAUUUGAGAGAGACAUAGAGAGCACAAGCAAAGGGAGAGAAAGAGGGAGAGGGAGAAGCAGGACCCCCCGCUGAGCUAGGAACCCGAUGUGGGGCUCGAUUCCAGGACCUGGGAUCAUGACUUGAGUUGAAGGCAGACACUUAACCAUCUGAGCCAUCCAGGCGUCCCUGACCCAUGAUUUAAAAGUGUGUUGUUUUGGGGCACCUGGGUGGCUCAGUCAGUUAAGUGUCCAACUCUUGAUUUCUGGUCAGAUCGUGAUCUCAGGGUUGUGAGAUUGAGCCUCAGGUCCAGCUCCACACUGACCAUGGAGCCUGCUUAAGAUUGUUUCUCUCCCUCUCUGUCUGCCCCUCCCCAUCCCUGCUUAUGCUCUCUCUCUCUCUAAAAAUAAAUAAAUAAAUAAAUAAAAGUGUGUUGUUUAAUUUCCUAGUGUUUGGAGAUAUUCCUGUAAUCAUUCUUUUAUGGAUUUUUAGAUUAAUUCCAUUAUGGUAAGAGAAUAUAUUUUGUAUUAUGUAUCAGUAUUGGUCCAAUAAUAAAUGAAGAACCACUAGUAUAUCUAUAUAGUAUAUAGUAUAGUGUGUG
This 1335-nucleotide long non-coding RNA is filed under the name Canis lupus familiaris (dog). RNAcentral describes it as "lncRNA (ENSCAFG00000050756.1)". Lineage: Eukaryota; Metazoa; Chordata; Mammalia; Carnivora; Canidae. The record is from RNAcentral.